UAGGGAAUCUUCCGCAAUGGGCGAAAGCCUGACGGAGCAACGCCGCGUGAGUGAUGAAGGUCUUCGGAUCGUAAAACUCUGUUAUUAGGGAAGAACAAAUGUGUAAGUAACUAUGCACGUCUUGACGGUACCUAAUCAGAAAGCCACGGCUAACUACGUACCAGCAGCCGCGGUAAUACGUAGGUGGCAAGCGUUAUCCGGAAUUAUUGGGCGUAAAGCGCGCGUAGGCGGUUUUUUAAGUCUGAUGUGAAAGCCCACGGCUCAACCGUGGAGGGUCAUUGGAAACUGGAAAACUUGAGUGCAGAAGAGGAAAGUGGAAUUCCAUGUGUAGAGGUGAAAUGCGCAGAGAUAUGGAGGAACACCAGUGGCGAAGGCGACUUUCUGGUCUGUAACUGACGCUGAUGUGCGAAAGCGUGGGGAUCAAACAGG
RNAcentral lists this ribosomal RNA (429 nucleotides) under Actinomycetes bacterium. Its description in RNAcentral is "Actinobacteria bacterium partial 16S ribosomal RNA". It matches the Rfam family "Bacterial small subunit ribosomal RNA", at positions 355 to 776 of the family's 1533-position model. The record is from RNAcentral. Lineage: Bacteria; Bacillati; Actinomycetota; Actinomycetes.